AUCUCUUCGAGACCCCAGGUCAGUCGAAUC
This 30-nucleotide ribosomal RNA is filed under the name Viola occulta. RNAcentral's name for it is "partial 28S ribosomal RNA". Lineage: Eukaryota; Viridiplantae; Streptophyta; Magnoliopsida; Malpighiales; Violaceae. The record is from RNAcentral.